This 255-nucleotide unclassified non-coding RNA is filed under the name Paraglomerales sp. RNAcentral describes it as "partial internal transcribed spacer 2". Lineage: Eukaryota; Fungi; Glomeromycota; Glomeromycetes; Paraglomerales. The record is from RNAcentral.
GUGAAUCAUCAAAUUUUUGAACGCAAAUUGCGCCUUUCACGGAAGUCAUGUCUGUUUGUGGUCACCAUUUAACAAAUAAUUUGCAGCGUUUUUGGUGUCGGACGGUGAUGAGCUUUCCAAGAAUUUUAAAUUUUUGGUGGCGCAUAAUGAACAGCGUUAAAGUUGUUUUCAGUUCGAGUGUAGUAAAAUCUUUGCUUGCGUUGUGAAAAAACAUACUCACGCAUUUGAGGUGGCAAUUUCUUUUUAUCCCGGCCC